RNAcentral lists this ribosomal RNA (492 nucleotides) under uncultured bacterium. RNAcentral's name for it is "partial 16S ribosomal RNA". It matches the Rfam family "Bacterial small subunit ribosomal RNA", at positions 29 to 507 of the family's 1533-position model. The record is from RNAcentral.
AGUGAACGCUGGCGGUAGGCCUAACACAUGCAAGUCGAACGGCAGCACAGUAAGAGCUUGCUCUUACGGGUGGCGAGUGGCGGACGGGUGAGGAAUACAUCGGAAUCUACUUUUUCGUGGGGGAUCACGUAGGGAAACUUACGCUAAUACCGCAUACGACCUACGGGUGAAAGCAGGGGAUCUUCGGACCUUGCGCGAUUGAAUGAGCCGAUGUCGGAUUAGCUAGUUGGCGGGGUAAAGGCCCACCAAGGCGACGAUCCGUAGCUGGUCUGAGAGGAUGAUCAGCCACACUGGAACUGAGACACGGUCAAGACUCCUACGGGAGGCAGCAGUGGGGAAUAUUGGACAAUGGGCGCAAGCCUGAUCCAGCCAUACCGCGUGGGUGAAGAAGGCCUUCGGGUUGUAAAGCCCUUUUGUUGGGAAAGAAAAGCAGCAGGUUAAUACCCCGCUGUUCUGACGGUACCCAAAGAAUAAGCACCGGCUAACUUCGUG